RNAcentral lists this ribosomal RNA (444 nucleotides) under uncultured bacterium. RNAcentral describes it as "bacterial SSU rRNA". It matches the Rfam family "Bacterial small subunit ribosomal RNA", at positions 34 to 470 of the family's 1533-position model. The record is from RNAcentral.
GAAUUCACUAGUGAUUAGGCCUAACACAUGCAAGUCGAGCGGAGAUGAGGUGCUUGCACCUUAUCUUAGCGGCGGACGGGUGAGUAAUGCUUAGGAAUCUGCCUAUUAGUGGGGGACAACAUUCCGAAAGGAAUGCUAAUACCGCAUACGCCCUACGGGGGAAAGCAGGGGAUCUUCGGACCUUGCGCUAAUAGAUGAGCCUAAGUCGGAUUAGCUAGUUGGUGGGGUAAAGGCCUACCAAGGCGACGAUCUGUAGCGGGUCUGAGAGGAUGAUCCGCCACACUGGGACUGAGACACGGCCCAGACUCCUACGGGAGGCAGCAGUGGGGAAUAUUGGACAAUGGGCGGAAGCCUGAUCCAGCCAUGCCGCGUGUGUGAAGAAGGCCUUUUGGUUGUAAAGCAAUUAAGCGAGGAGGAGGCUACCUGGAUUAAUACUCUAGGAUA